GAAAUGCGAUAAGUAAUGUGAAUUGCAGAAUUCAGUGAAUCAUCGAAUCUUUGAACGCACAUUGCGCCCGCCAGCACUCUGGCGGGCAUGCCUGUUCGAGCGUCAUUUCAACCAUCAAGCCACCGGGCUUGCGUUGGGGACCUGCGGCUGCCCGCAGGCCAUGAAAACCAGUGGCGGGCUCGCUGUCACCCCGGUCCUAGUAGUAUCAUCUCGUCCUGGGCGUGGCUGCGGGCUCCGUCUGUUAAACCUUCUCACAUCCAAAGGUUGACCUCGGAUCAGGUAGGGAUGCCCGCUGAACUUAA
Molecule: unclassified non-coding RNA, 302 nt
Filed under: uncultured Sordariomycetes
Lineage: Eukaryota; Fungi; Ascomycota; Sordariomycetes
Description: sequence contains ITS1
Rfam family: 5.8S ribosomal RNA (bases 1-105)
Source: RNAcentral